Non-coding RNA from Pelobates cultripes (western spadefoot toad), 312 nucleotides. NCBI's taxonomy places the organism in Eukaryota, Metazoa, Chordata, Amphibia, Anura, Pelobatidae. The record is from the annotation of a GenBank genome assembly.
CUUAGAAAUGCUUGUAUAUGUUUAAGUGCAUACAGUGAGAUGAGAUUUGAGAAACCCAGAUUUACCUCUGUCCAGAGGUAUCUAUAGUUCGAGUCAUGAGCCAGUUACAUCGGUUGCCUCUUAACUACUUUUUUCUACUCUGCUAUAGAAUGCAUUCCAUGAAUUCCAGGCAGUCUCCCCGAGGUGUGCCUGGGGGUCGGCCUUCCUGGCCAUAAUUUCGUAUUUUCUGGUGGUUUCAAUGGCCUUGAUGCAGGAGGCCAGAGUUGGGGGGUAAGAGGAUAGCCGGUUUUUACUAAUGGCCUGUAGGGCUGC